This 374-nucleotide ribosomal RNA is filed under the name uncultured organism. Its description in RNAcentral is "partial 16S ribosomal RNA". It matches the Rfam family "Bacterial small subunit ribosomal RNA", at positions 527 to 896 of the family's 1533-position model. The record is from RNAcentral.
GUAGGUGGCAAGCGUUGUCCGGAAUUAUUGGGCGUAAAGCGCGCGCAGGCGGUUCUUUAAGUCUGAUGUGAAAGCCCACGGCUCAACCGUGGAGGGUCAUUGGAAACUGGAGAACUUGAGUACAGAAGAGGAAAGCGGAAUUCCACGUGUAGCGGUGAAAUGCGUAGAGAUGUGGAGGAACACCAGUGGCGAAGGCGGCUUUCUGGUCUGUAACUGACGCUGAGGCGCGAAAGCGUGGGGAGCAAACAGGAUUAGAUACCCUGGUAGUCCACGCCGUAAACGAUGAGUGCUAAGUGUUAGGGGGGUUUUACCGCCCCCCUUAGUGCUGCAGCUAACGCAUUAAGCACUCCGCCUGGGAUACGGCCGCAAGGCUG